GUGGGGAAUAUUGGACAAUGGGCGAAAGCCUGAUCCAGCCAUGCCGCGUGUGUGAAGAAGGUCUUCGGAUUGUAAAGCACUUUAAGUUGGGAGGAAGGGCAGUAAGUUAAUACCUUGCUGUUUUGACGUUACCGACAGAAUAAGCACCGGCUAACUUCGUGCCAGCAGCCGCGGUAAUACGAAGGGUGCAAGCGUUAAUCGGAAUUACUGGGCGUAAAGCGCGCGUAGGUGGUUUUGUAAGUUGGAGGUGAAAUCCCCGGGCUCAACCUGGGAACUGCCUCCAAAACUGCAUGACUAGAGUACGGUAGAGGGUAGUGGAAUUUCCUGUGUAGCGGUGAAAUGCGUAGAUAUAGGAAGGAACACCAGUGGCGAAGGCGACUACCUGGACUGAUACUGACACUGAGGUGCGAAAGCGUGGGGAGCAAACAGGAUUAGAAACCCUUUGUAGUCC
This 451-nucleotide ribosomal RNA is filed under the name uncultured bacterium. RNAcentral describes it as "partial 16S ribosomal RNA". It matches the Rfam family "Bacterial small subunit ribosomal RNA", at positions 354 to 796 of the family's 1533-position model. The record is from RNAcentral.